AUCUAAAAAAAAAGAAAAAACAAAAACAAAAAACGCCGUCCCCGUCUCGCGACUCGCACGACAGCGCGGACGCCACCGGCGCCUCGCGGGAGACCUCCGACACCGUCGGAAGCUCCGUCGGACGUGUCCGGCGCGUUCGGCGAAGUCCGACGUUGCUUUCAGCGGCGCUGGAAGCGUCGCGGAAAGCUUCCAGUGCCGCUGGAAGCUUCACGAGAUGUUGCCGGGCGCGUCCUACGACGCUUCCGGCGGCUGCGGAGGCGUCCGGCGUCGCCGGAGAUUGCGCGAUGAUGACUCAACAGUUAACAACUUAACGAAACAAGACGUAAAAACUUACCGGAGCACGGAGUGACGAAGCCUUCGAAGCGGCGCACGACGAAACAGCGACGAUGAUGACGCAGCGACGAUGAGGACGAAACAGCAAAUUUGGAAGAUGAAGCGGCGCACGGCGAAGACGUAAACAGCAAAUUUGGAACAAAAUAUUAAAAGUUUAAAACCUAAAUAACUCGGUCGAGAUCCGCCGAGGCCCGUUGAGUUCCGCCGAGUCUCUUCGAGGGCCGCCGAGAGCCGCCUAGGGCACUCGCCUGGGAUGUUUCCGGCGCGGCUUGUUCCCGCGCAGUGCCUAGGCGGCCGCCUAGCCCGAGUUUUCGAACACUGGGUGCAUGUCUAAAAUCAUGGACUAUAAGAUAAAUGGUUCGACCUAUUUGGAUUUGAGUAAAAUUGUUCGUCUUUAUCUAUGAAGUAUUGAUAAAGAUGGUCAUUUAACUAAUGAUCUUCAAGAUGAUUCGAAGUAAACAUGGCUUAGAGAGGAUGCUCGAUCGCUCCUUCAUAUUCAGAAUUAUAUUGAUAAUGAGAUAAUUAGUUUGAUCAAUUAUUGUGAAUUUGUUAAAGAACUAAUAGAUUAUUUGAAAUUUCUAAUUUAAAAAAGAAAUUUCUCCCAUAUAUAUAUAUAUAUAAAAGAUUUGUAAAAUAUUUUAUCGUGUGGCAAAAUAAGAUCAAUUUUUGAGGAGUUUAAUAUAUUACUUCUCUUUAGUCCUGAUGUGAAAGUUUAAUAAUGCUAACGAGAUUAGAUGAUUAUCAUAAACCUUCUCAUUGGCCUAUUGAUAACUAAUAUUUCGUUGCAUCCUUUUAUAUUCCUAAUUGAUAAUUUUGUUAUCAUGUCGUAUAUAUAAAUUACUUUUUAAUGUAUAAUUAUGAGUAUGAUGUAUUUUGAGUGGUAUUGUAAUUUUCCUACACUUAUAAUCUCAUUUCACAAAUUUUGUAUUGAUUUGUUGGGAGGCAUGAAUAGCCAUGGGACUUGAGUUGAGCCGAACCACGUGGAGUCAAGGUUGGGGGCAAAAGAGAGUUGAUUCAUCUAGAAGUUUGAGGAAUUAAGCUGAAUUAAUCUCAUCCAUUGAUGUGAUGAUGGAGUGAUCUGGACUCUCUACCCAGAUCUAGCCGAUCUUAGGCCUUCGUCAAAAUCUGGGUUAAUCUAAACCUUCUUGCAAAGGAAGAGAACCUAACCGUUGGAUCUAGAUCUGAUCAAGGCAUUAUCCAGAUGUAAUCUGGAUUGUUGAGUUAGAUUGAAUCUGAGUUAUACAUGUACAUGAAUCAAUGGCUGGAAAUUAGAGAUUAUAAGAGAAACAAGGAGCCAUAGAGAGGGCAUCCACUCUUGGUCACCAUCCUCCAGCCCCCGACGCCAUCAACGCCAACUCCCCUUCUCCACCUCGUUGCUCAAAUCCACGCCAACGCCUGCACGCCAAUGUCGGAUCUCUAUCUCUUCCUCACGCAAGGACUCUAAGCGGUUGCCCUUCUUCCUCCAGCAACCCCACAACCGUCGAAGAGCCCUCUCCUUUCCGGGUAGAAGAGGAGGGGCUCCGACCAUCUUCUCCAGUCGCAUGCCUCCGUUUUUCUUCUAUUCAGUCGACCAUCUCCUUCUUCGGGCUAGAAGACUAGGAUCCAGCUGCGCUUCCUGGCAGCAGCAGCCACCUCUUCCUUCCGACGUUCAUCCUUGUCUAUCUCCGACCAUCCAUAAAGGUCUUCCCUUCGGGUUAGAAGGGAAGGUCUUCCUCCCACUUUCUGGCGAUUCUAGAAUUCUGACCAUAUCCUUUCUCUCUUCGUUUCGGACAGCAUCUUCUCCUUCCAACGAUUUGUAGCUCUGACUAGCGGUUCUUCAAUUGUUGUUGUGUUUGGAUUAUUAGUUGUCACUUCUCCAACAUUGCACUAGUUUAUUUUGAAUGGGUUGUUUAGUCAAUUAUGUUUUCUUGCUCUCUUGUUGCUUGGUAGUUUGCUUUCUCUUGUCAGUUACAAGUAUGUGUCGGGUUGAAUUGUAGGUCCAUUAUGCUUGUUAGUUGAAAAUUCUCCAUGCAACAUAGUUUAGUUAAUUGUUCAUUCCCUUUUGAUCACAAUAUGAAUUAGGUUUCAUUUCAAUAUCGUUGUUUGUUAAUUGUCUCUGAUAACACUCUUCCUGAUUGUGGGAACAAUAUAGCAAACAAUCGAACAUUGAGAGAGCUUGCAACACCAGAUGUUGCAUUCCAGACAUUGUGUAUACAGUAUCCAGAGUUGGAUGUGAAUUUUGAGCUACGGUCUGGGAUUAUUCACCUUCUUCCAAAAUUUCAUGUAUUAGCUGGAGAAGGCCCUAAUCAGUACCUGCUGGAGUUCCAUAUAGUGUGUUCUACCAUGAAACCACAUGGGAUCGCUAAAGAAGAUAUUAACCUAAGGACUUUCCAUUUUCAUUGGCAGACACAGCGAAGGAUUGGUUAUAUACUUUACCUUCCGGUGUGAUCACUUGUUGGGCUGAGAUGAGGAAAGUUUUUAUAGAGAAGUUCUUUUCGGCUUCAAGGACAACAACUAUUAGAAAGAAUAUUAAAAGAACAUCUGCGGCAUUCAGUAGCUCUCUAGGAAAACAUUGUAUGAAUACUGGGAGCGAUUCAAGAAACUCUGUAGCAGUUUUCCCACCACUAGAUCAGCGAGCAGUUGCUUAUCCAGUAUUUCUAUGAAGGAGUACUUCCCAUGAACAGAAAUAUAGUGGAUGCAGCUAGUGGAGAAGCAUUAAUGAACAAGACACCUGAUCAAGCAAAGGAACUUAUCUCUAAUUGGCAGUAAAUUCACAGAAGUUUGGGCGUCGAUCGAUGACGGCUUGAGGAGUUAAUCAACUUUAAGCACCUAGCAUUAAAUCUCAAGAAAUAAGGGUUAAUUUGCAGGACUUGACUUCUUUGCUUAGGCAGAUGUCUUUCCAAUAGCCUUUGGCUCAGUCUGUUCAAGUAGCGAGGAAUUGUAGAUUCUGUUACAGUGCAUCUCAUACUACGAACCUAUGUCCAACAAUGCAACCAAAUGAAGGAUCUGCCUUUGCAAAUCCAGUGGCAACAGCAAACAUGUUUCAACCCAGAUCUCAGUUUUACCAGACACAACAGUAUGGGUACAAGUAGCAUUACAACCCUAUGUCUCCUACUUACAAUCCGGAUUGGAAGGAUCAUCGGAAUCUAAGAUAUGAGAAUUCAUCACAACACUCAUAUCAGCUGCCACCUCCAUGCAUUAUUUCAGUAGGUCAGAGGUAGCCUAGGUUUAAUAACAACACAGUUCCAAACAAGUCACAACAAGUCCAAUCGCCCAAACCAGAGUCAUCUACACAAAAUUUGGAGAUCUUAUGAUGUGAAUGUAGCAACAACUUUCACAGCAAUUUUCAACACAGAUGCAACAGUAUCAACAGAGAAAUGAUGCGAUAAUGCAGAGCUUAGAGUGACAGAUGGGUCAGAUGUCAUCUACACAACCAGCUACAAUUCCAGGGUCAAGUCAAUUACCUUUGCAAACUAUUCUGAACCCCAAGGGGAACGUCACUGCCAUCACACUUUGGAGUGGUAGAGCUACUUCUGACUUGCACUUCCAACAACAUCUCCAGUUCUAGAUUCAGGCUGUACAGAUCAGAAUAUUGAGUCAGAAUCAUAGCCUCAUCCUAGGUCCGAGCUACCUGUUCCGUUGCUAUUUCCUCAUAAGUCAGUUUAUCCUGGGAGGAAUAUUGAUGCAGAUAAGACACAAGAGCUCCAGGAGCUGGUAGAUAUUUUUAGUAAGGUGGAAGUCAACAUUCCAUUAUUAAGGGUGAUCAAAUAUAUUCCUAUGUACACUAAGUUUUUGAAGGAUUUAUGUGUUCACAAGAAGUUGAAGGGCACUAAGUUGGUUAGCAUGGGGAAGACUGUAUUAGCGCUUAUUCAGUCAAUGCCCCAGAAAUGCAAGGAGUCGGGAGUUUUCACAAGAUCGUGUGUGAUUGGAGAUCACAAUUUUGUGGAUGCCAUGUUGGAUCUUGGUGUCUCAAUCAAUGCUAUGUUGAAGUCGAUUUUCCUAGCACUUGGUAUCAAACCAUUACAGCUGACCGGAGUAGCCAUUCAGUUGGUCAAGCGUAGCUUUACUCAUCUGUCGGAGUAAUCGAGAAUGUCUUGGUUAAGGUGAAAGAAUUGAUAUUUUCGGCAGACUUUUAGAUUUUGGAUUGGAGGGUGACACAUCUUUGAACCAUACUCCACUGAUUUUGGGAUGACUGUUCUUGAAGACUAUCAGGACAAAGAUCAAUGUGCAUGCAGGAAUGCUGACUAUGGAGUUUGGAGAUAUAGUGGUACAGUUCAGUAUUUUUGACGUGAUGAGGUACCCUCAUUCUUGGGCAUUGGUGUAUUAGACAAGCUAUAUUUUGAGGAGUUAGAUGACAUGGAUUCGGAUUUGGUUUGCAUACUUGAUUUGUUAGAUACUUCGUUGACAGAGGUUGGUGGUGACUCAGAUGUUGUGAACAAUGAUAGCAGUGGAUCAACUCUUGUCUACGAUGCUAUCUUGGAGGACUGCAUAGAGGUAGAUAGCAGGUCCUGAAAAUUGCUUCCAUCCAUUAUGCAACCACCAAGACUUGAUUUGAAACCCCUACCAGAUCAUUUGAAACAUGCUUACUUAGGGAAGAACAAGCAGUUGCCAGUGAUUAUUGCCCAGAAUCUUGAGUUAGAUCAGGAGAAGAGAUAAAUAGAUCUUUUGCGACGAUAUCAGCGGGCUAUCGGAUGGACUAUUGCUGAUAUACCCAAUAAUAGUCCUUCCAUUUGCAUGCAUCGGAUAUUCCUUGAGGAUGAUAUGAAGCCAGUGAGAUAACCACAGCGCAGACUUAACCCGCUCAUUCUGGAUGCAGUUAAGGAGGUGACCAAGCUUCAACAAGCUGAUAUCAUAUAUCCUAUCUCUGACAGUUAGUGGGUGAGUUUGGUGUGGGUGAUCCCAAAGAAAUCUAGUGUUCCAAUUGUAGCAAAUAAGGAAGAUGUAUUGAUUCCAGAAUUCUAUAUCGACUAUCGGAAGCUGAAUCAAGCCACAAGGAUCACUACGUGUUGUCGUUAAUUGAUCAAAUAUUGGAGAGGCUUGCGGGUAAUCACAUUACUGCUUCUUGGAUGGCUAUACGGGUUACUUUCAGAUUCACAUAGCUCUGGAGGAUCAAGAGAAGAUGACUUUUACAUGUUCAUUCAGAACAUUUGCCUAUCGACAAAUGUCAUUUGGACUGUGUAACGCUCCGGGUACUUUCCAACGAUGCAUGGCGGUUCAUUCAAGAUUUUAGCAAGAUUGCCCCUUUGCUUUCAAAUUUGUUACAGAAAGAGGUGGAGUUCCAUUUUGAUCAGAAGUAUAAGGAUGCAUUUGAUUGAUUGAAAAAGGCUCUUGCAUUGAUUUUGAUCAUCAAGCCGCUAGUUUGGAGUCUUCCGUUUGAGCUGAUGUGCGAUGCAUCCAAUUAUGUAGUGGGUGCAAUGUUGACCCAGAGAGCACUCCAUGUCAUUUGUUAUACAUCGAAUACCUUGGAUUCUGCCCAAGCCACAAUAAACAAUAAAUAAAGAGCUUUUGGCUUUAGAUAAA
Long non-coding RNA from Zingiber officinale, 5832 nucleotides. RefSeq lists it as uncharacterized. The record is from RefSeq and is a predicted model, not a curated record. The transcript has 2 exons. Lineage: Eukaryota; Viridiplantae; Streptophyta; Magnoliopsida; Zingiberales; Zingiberaceae.